This is a long non-coding RNA of Trifolium pratense (red clover), 321 nucleotides long. RefSeq lists it as uncharacterized. NCBI's taxonomy places the organism in Eukaryota, Viridiplantae, Streptophyta, Magnoliopsida, Fabales, Fabaceae. The record is from RefSeq and is a predicted model, not a curated record. The transcript is spliced from 3 exons.
CAUCUACAACUACAAUUUUAGAGAGCUACUUGCCCAUCCUAUUUAAAUUUUUUAAAGAGUUACAAGCUUGUCUUAUAGCUUUCAAAGAAUUAGCUUGAUGUGGUGAAGGUCAAAUGACAUUUGAUGUAAUUCUGUAUGGGUAGUUCAAUGACAAUUUUCUAGAGGUUAAGAAGCUCUACAUUCAGAGGAAAGAUUAAAUCAAAUAGUCGAAAAAGAUCUAAUGACAGAGUGACUUAGUUAAAUGAGAAGAAAUGGUCUACGUUGCACUCAUCUGUAGACAUUUUAGGUGACUCUGUUGAUUAUGUGUAAUUGCAUAUGCCU